This 72-nucleotide transfer RNA is filed under the name Camelus bactrianus (Bactrian camel). It matches the Rfam family "tRNA". From Rfam's summary of the family: Transfer RNA (tRNA) molecules are approximately 80 nucleotides in length. Their secondary structure includes four short double-helical elements and three loops (D, anti-codon, and T loops). Lineage: Eukaryota; Metazoa; Chordata; Mammalia; Artiodactyla; Camelidae. The record is from Rfam by way of RNAcentral. RNAcentral also lists the same sequence under 1 other name.
GAGGGUAUGGCUCAGUGGCAGAGCACGUGCUUAGCACAGGGGAGGUCCUGGGUUCAAUUCCUGGUACCUCUG